Molecule: ribosomal RNA, 498 nt
Filed under: uncultured bacterium
Lineage: Bacteria
Description: partial 16S ribosomal RNA
Rfam family: Bacterial small subunit ribosomal RNA
Source: RNAcentral
AGUGAACGCUGGCGGCAUGCCUUACACAUGCAAGUCGAACGGUAACAGGUCUUCGGAUGCUGACGAGUGGCGAACGGGUGGGUAAUACAUCGGAACGUGCCCGAUCGUGGGGGAUAACGAAGCGAAAGCUUUGCUAAUACCGCAUACGAUCUAAGGAUGAAAGCAGGGGACCGCAAGGCCUUGCGCGAACGGAGCGGCCGAUGGCAGAUUAGGUAGUUGGUGGGAUAAAAGCUUACCAAGCCGACGAGCUGUAGCUGGUCUGAGAGGACGACCAGCCACACUGGGACUGAGACACGGCCCAGACUCCUACGGGAGGCAGCAGUGGGGAAUUUUGGACAAUGGGCGAAAGCCUGAUCCAGCCAUGCCGCGUGCAGGAUGAAGGCCUUCGGGUUGUAAACUGCUUUUGUACGGAACGAAAAGACUCUGGUUAAUACCUGGGGUCCAUGACGGUACCGUAAGAAUAAGCACCGGCUAACUACGUGCCAGCCGCCGCCGUAA